Molecule: ribosomal RNA, 433 nt
Filed under: uncultured bacterium
Lineage: Bacteria
Description: partial 16S ribosomal RNA
Rfam family: Bacterial small subunit ribosomal RNA
Source: RNAcentral
AACGAACGCUGGCGGCAUGCCUAACACAUGCAAGUCGAACGAGACCUUCGGGUCUAGUGGCGCACGGGUGCGUAACGCGUGGGAACCUGCCCUUAGGUUCGGAAUAACUCCCCGAAAGGGGUGCUAAUACCGGAUAAUGUCUUCGGACCAAAGAUUUAUCGCCUUUGGGUGGGCCCGCGUUGGAUUAGCUAGUUGGUAGGGUAAAAGCCUACCAAGGCGACGAUCCAUAGCUGGUCUGAGAGGAUGAUCAGCCACACUGGGACUGAGACACGGCCCAGACUCCUACGGGAGGCAGCAGUGGGGAAUAUUGGACAAUGGGCGAAAGCCUGAUCCAGCAAUGACGCGUGAGUGAUGAAGGCCUUAGGGUUGUAAAGCUCUUUUACCCGGGAUGAUAAUGACAGUACCGGGAGAAUAAGCUCCGGCUAACUCCGUG